Triticum dicoccoides is the source of this 1263-nucleotide long non-coding RNA. RefSeq lists it as uncharacterized. NCBI's taxonomy places the organism in Eukaryota, Viridiplantae, Streptophyta, Magnoliopsida, Poales, Poaceae. The transcript has 7 exons. The record is from RefSeq and is a predicted model, not a curated record.
GAGAGCAGUGAGAAGUUCUUUUUUCCCAACGCAACCUCCUCUCCUUCUUUCCCAUCCUGAUCAGCGGCUAGGGUUCCGCCGGCGCCGCCACAGCCACAGCCACCGGCGCCAUCCCUGCUCGUCCAGCACUGGCCACUGCAGAAGGUGGUCGUCGUCUCCGUCGCCGUCGCCGUCUCCGCCUCUAACAUCGACCUCGACCUCGACCGUGUCUGCGGCAGCGGCAAGGACCUCCGCAUGUAGGUCUCCUUCUCGCCAAGCGAGCGCUCGGGACGAGCAGGAUCUCAAUCUCGAGCGGGGGACAAACGCGGCCACUGGCAGCCGCCGGGGACGCCUCUGCAUCGUCGGCGGCGGAAUUAGGGGAGCAGCAUGUUGCGAUUCUGGUGGUCCUUCCUUGCUUCGAAAACUUCCAUAUCCAAGCUCAUUUAUGCUAGAAAGUGUUUACUGAAUGCAUCUAUAGCAACGGGAGACUCGAUUGAUUCUAAUCAUAUACGGUGCGCUUGUUCCAUGGAGUAGCGAUGGAGAGCAGGCGAGAGGGCACAGGCGAAGUUGGCCAACAAGAGCCAGCUCGAUGAGGGCUUCCAUUGAAAGCAUAUAUCUAAUCUUAUAUUUAAUCUGGAUCUGAUAGGAAAAUGGUCAAAGGCAAUCUAUGAUGGCAUAUUUGUUGAUUGUCAUUUGCAACUUUCUUCUUGAGCAAGCUGAAACAAAAGUGCUGCUCCAUCUAUCAGAUGCAGCUACAACAUGAGCCCCUCUUUAGAUAGAUGGAUGGAAUUAUGAUCGCUGCCUUCUUCCUCCAGGCUCAGGCUAAUGUGACGAGGCGACGAGAUACACGAGGGGUGGGAUAAGGACUGCAGGAGGACAUGCCCUGUUUUAGAUCCACCCGAUCAUUCCAUGUUUUUGCAAGGUCCGCUUCAUACGAAAAAAAUUCUUUCGAUGAGCAGUCUAGCCAAAUAAUUACAAUUAGUCCUUUCAGUUGGAUUUAGUAUUAGCUAAAUUAUUUUCUUCCCAUGACACUGAACAAACUGAGUAUAAUUUUAAUUUGCUUUAGAUUAGUAUUGUAGCCUAGAAUAUAGAUAUGUAUUUUGUAAUACUUAAUCCUUCAAAGUGAUAACCAGUACUAUGAAUCUUGACGCAUACUCCGCAUCUCCCUCAAAUGGAUAUAUCUAGCACUAACUUGGUGAUAGAUACAUCCAUUUAAGGGACAAGCUUUUUCGGACGGAGAGGGUACUAUAUUUGUUUGGUGGUAUACUUUAGCCCAGAUUAUGG